This 1275-nucleotide ribosomal RNA is filed under the name Triticum aestivum (bread wheat). RNAcentral's name for it is "partial small subunit ribosomal RNA". Lineage: Eukaryota; Viridiplantae; Streptophyta; Magnoliopsida; Poales; Poaceae. The record is from RNAcentral.
AUGGGGAACAGAAUAGGAGGGAGGAGGAAGGCCGGGGUGGAGGAGCGGUACACGAGGCCGCAGGGUCUGUACGAGCACAGGGAUAUCGACCAGAAGAAGCUACGCAAGUUGAUCCUCGAGGCCAAGCUCGCGCCCUGCUACCCGGGGGCUGACGACGCCGCGGGGGGUGACCUGGAGGAGUGCCCCAUCUGCUUCCUGUACUACCCAAGCCUUAACCGAUCAAAAUGUUGCUCGAAAGGGAUAUGUACAGAGUGCUUUCUUCAAAUGAAGCCAACUCAUACUGCUCGACCUACACAAUGCCCAUUCUGCAAAACCCCCAACUAUGCUGUGGAGUAUCGUGGUGUAAAGACAAAGGAGGAAAGGAGCAUAGAGCAAUUUGAAGAACAGAAAGUCAUUGAAGCACAGAUGAGGAUGCGCCAGCAAGCACUUCAAGACGAAGAGGAUAAGAUGAAAAGAAAACAGAGUAGGUGCUCUUCUAGCAGAACAAUCGCUCCAACAACAGAAGUGGAGUAUCGAGAUAUUUGCAGCACAUCCUAUUCAGUGCCAUCGUACCAAUGUACCGAGCAAGAAACUGAAUGUUGUUCGUCUGAGCCUUCAUGUUCUGCUCAGGCUAACAUGCGGUCUUUCCAUUCUAGGCAUACUCGUGAUGAUAACAUAGACAUGAACAUAGAGGACAUGAUGGUUAUGGAAGCGAUUUGGCGUUCAAUUCAGGAGCAAGGAAGUAUAGGAAAUCCUGCUUGUGGGAGUUUUAUGCCUUUUGAGCAACCAACGUGUGAGAGGCAGGCAUUCGUUGCAGCUCCUCCUCUAGAAAUACCCCAUCCUGGUGGAUUUUCUUGUGCUGUUGCUGCUAUGGCUGAGCACCAGCCAUCAAGCAUGGAUUUCUCUUACAUGACUGGUAGUAGUGCGUUCCCAGUCUUUGACAUGUUCCGCCGACCGUGCAACAUUGCUGGUGGAAGCAUGUGUGCUGUGGAGAGUUCACCAGAUAGCUGGAGCGGGAUAGCGUCAAGUUGCAGCAGAAGGGAAGUGGUAAGAGAGGAAGGAGAGUGCUCAACUGACCACUGGUCAGAGGGUGCAGAGGCCGGGACAAGCUACGCCGGCUCGGACAUCGUGGUGGAUGCGGGGACAACGCCACCGUUGCCUGUUACUGACAAUUACAGUAUGGUUGCAAGCCAUUUCCGUCCUGAGAGCAUCGAAGAACAAAUGAUGUAUUCCAUGGCUGUUUCUUUAGCAGAAGCUCAUGGUAGAACGCACACGCAAGGGUUGGCAUGGUUGUAA